RNAcentral lists this ribosomal RNA (768 nucleotides) under uncultured Bacillota bacterium. RNAcentral describes it as "bacterial SSU rRNA". It matches the Rfam family "Bacterial small subunit ribosomal RNA", at positions 573 to 1344 of the family's 1533-position model. The record is from RNAcentral. Lineage: Bacteria; Bacillati; Bacillota.
AGGCGGAGCUGCAAGUCAGAUGUGAAAUCCCGGGGCUCAACCCCGGAACUGCAUUUGAAACUGUAGCCCUUGAGUAUCGGAGAGGCAAGCGGAAUUCCUAGUGUAGCGGUGAAAUGCGUAGAUAUUAGGAGGAACACCAGUGGCGAAGGCGGCUUGCUGGACGACAACUGACGCUGAGGCGCGAAAGCGUGGGGAGCAAACAGGAUUAGAUACCCUGGUAGUCCACGCUGUAAACGAUGAAUACUAGGUGUGGGAGGACCGACCCCUUCCGUGCCGCAGUUAACACAAUAAGUAUUCCACCUGGGGAGUACGACCGCAAGGUUGAAACUCAAAGGAAUUGACGGGGGCCCGCACAAGCAGUGGAUUAUGUGGUUUAAUUCGACGCAACGCGAAGAACCUUACCAGGAUUUGACAUCCAACUAACGAAGCAGAGAUGCAUUAGGUGCCCUUCGGGGAAAGUUGAGACAGGUGGUGCAUGGUUGUCGUCAGCUCGUGUCGUGAGAUGUUGGGUUAAGUCCCGCAACGAGCGCAACCCCUAUUGUUAGUUGCUACGAAAGAGCACUCUAGCGAGACUGCCGUUGACAAAACGGAGGAAGGCGGGGACGACGUCAAAUCAUCAUGCCCCUUAUGUCCUGGGCUACACACGUAAUACAAUGGUGGUAAACAGAGGGAAGCAAAGCCGCGAGGUGGAGCAAAUCCCUAAAAGCCAUCUCAGUUCGGAUUGCAGGCUGCAACUCGCCUGCAUGGAGCUGGAAUUGCUAGUAAUCG